Molecule: ribosomal RNA, 1372 nt
Filed under: uncultured bacterium
Lineage: Bacteria
Description: bacterial SSU rRNA
Rfam family: Bacterial small subunit ribosomal RNA
Source: RNAcentral
GAUGAACGCUGGCGGCGUGCCUAAUACAUGCAAGUCGAGCGAACGGACGAGAAGCUUGCUUCUCUGAUGUUGGCGGCGGACGGGUGAGUAACACGUGGAUAACCUACCUAUAAGACUGGGAUAACUUCGGGAAACCGGAGCUAAUACCGGAUAAUAUUUUGAACCGCAUGGUUCAAAAGUGAAAGACGGUCUUGCUGUCACUUAUAGAUGGAUCCGCGCUGCAUUAGCUAGUUGGUAAGGUAACGGCUUACCAAGGCAACGAUGCAUAGCCGACCUGAGAGAGUGAUCGGCCACACUGGAACUGAGACACGGUCCAGACUCCUACGGGAGGCAGCAGUAGGGAAUCUUCCGCAAUGGGCGAAAGCCUGACGGAGCAACGCCGCGUGAGUGAUGAAGGUCUUCGGAUCGUAAAACUCUGUUAUUAGGGAAGAACAUAUGUGUAAGUAACUGUGCACAUCUUGACGGUACCUAAUCAGAAAGCCACGGCUAACUACGUGCCAGCAGCCGCGGUAAUACGUAGGUGGCAAGCGUUAUCCGGAAUUAUUGGGCGUAAAGCGCGCGUAGGCGGUUUUUUAAGUCUGAUGUGAAAGCCCACGGCUCAACCGUGGAGGGUCAUUGGAAACUGGAAAACUUGAGUGCAGAAGAGGAAAGUGGAAUUCCAUGUGUAGCGGUGAAAUGCGCAGAGAUAUGGAGGAACACCAGUGGCGAAGGCGACUUUCUGGUCUGUAACUGACGCUGAUGUGCGAAAGCGUGGGGAUCAAACAGGGUUAGAUACCCUGGUAGUCCACGCCGUAAACGAUGAGUGCUAAGUGUUAGGGGGUUUCCGCCCCUUAGUGCUGCAGCUAACGCAUUAAGCACUCCGCCUGGGGAGUACGACCGCAAGGUUGAAACUCAAAGGAAUUGACGGGGACCCGCACAAGCGGUGGAGCAUGUGGUUUAAUUCGAAGCAACGCGAAGAACCUUACCAAAUCUUGACAUCCUUUGACAACUCUAGAGAUAGAGCCUUCCCCUUCGGGGGACAAAGUGACAGGUGGUGCAUGGUUGUCGUCAGCUCGUGUCGUGAGAUGUUGGGUUAAGUCCCGCAACGAGCGCAACCCUUAAGCUUAGUUGCCAUCAUUAAGUUGGGCACUCUAAGUUGACUGCCGGUGACAAACCGGAGGAAGGUGGGGAUGACGUCAAAUCAUCAUGCCCCUUAUGAUUUGGGCUACACACGUGCUACAAUGGACAAUACAAAGGGCAGCGAAACCGCGAGGUCAAGCAAAUCCCAUAAAGUUGUUCUCAGUUCGGAUUGUAGUCUGCAACUCGACUACAUGAAGCUGGAAUCGCUAGUAAUCGUAGAUCAGCAUGCUACGGUGAAUACGUUCCCGGGUCU